This 440-nucleotide ribosomal RNA is filed under the name uncultured bacterium. RNAcentral's name for it is "partial 16S ribosomal RNA". It matches the Rfam family "Bacterial small subunit ribosomal RNA", at positions 338 to 795 of the family's 1533-position model. The record is from RNAcentral.
CCUACGGGCGGCAGCAGUAGGGAAUAUUGCUCAAUGGGGGAAACCCUGAAGCAGCAACGCCGCGUGGAGGAUGAAGGUUUUCGGAUUUUAAACUCCUUUUGAUGGAGAAGAUAAUGACGGUAUCUAACGAAUAAGCACCGGCUAACUCCGUUCCAGCAGCCGCGGUAAUACGGCGGGUGCCAGCGUUAUUCGGAAUCACUGGGCGUAAAGAGCGCUUAGGCGGGACAGUAAGUCAGAUGUGAAAUCCUAUGGCUUAACCAUAGAACUGCAUUUGGGACUGUUAUUCUAGAGUAUGGGAGAGGUAGGUGGAAUUCUUGGUGUAGGGGUAAAAUCCGUAGAGAUCAAGAGGAAUACUCAUUGCGAAGGCGACCUGCUAGAACAUAACUGACGCUGAUGCGCGAAAGCGUGGGGAGCAAACAGGAUUAGAUACCCGAGUAGUC